Molecule: long non-coding RNA, 514 nt
Organism: Coffea eugenioides
Lineage: Eukaryota; Viridiplantae; Streptophyta; Magnoliopsida; Gentianales; Rubiaceae
Exons: 3
Source: RefSeq, a predicted model, not a curated record
UUCAUUUCCUUUUCUCUGCUACAAUGGCCGGCUAGACUGCAGCAAAGGAACAACCAAAGUCACCAUUUCUUUUCUUCUAAAACUCAACCAAAUUCCUACCAAAACUUCCAUAGAUUCUCACCAAACUUCACAUUCGUUUAGCUUUUCACUUGGACAACAACUUAGGCUGGAAAAGGGAGGAGUUUCACGACUGUCUUCAGGCUUCAUAGGGACCGAAAUUUUCUGAUUUGAACAGCCAUCAAAGCACGCACGAGGACCUCCAAGAGGACCCUACUGUGGAAGUUUGAACUCUUCCUCCAAUUUACUUGCUUGCAUAACUUGGUUGAAUUCGGAGGUAAAAUGGAGCAGCCUCUUGAUGUACUUUUGUUUUAGGGUUGCUAAUACUUUUGUUUAUGCCUUCGGCUUUGGAUUGUACUUUUGGUAUGGAAAUGUAACCUUUGGACGAAUUGUAUUUUGUGUACUGACGUGUGGUUUGGAGAAUGGUUGACUAUUAUUAAGUUUGAACGUUUCCUCA